This 1495-nucleotide long non-coding RNA is filed under the name Dromaius novaehollandiae (emu). RNAcentral describes it as "lncRNA (ENSDNVG00000003312.1)". Lineage: Eukaryota; Metazoa; Chordata; Aves; Casuariiformes; Dromaiidae. The record is from RNAcentral.
GGGUCAGGCGGGCCCAGCCGAGGUGCCCCCGAGAAGCACCCCCCAGGCCCAGCCACCGUGGGUCAGAGGAGUCAUCUGGAAAGAGGGGAGAGAAGCAGYGUGCGUUGUGGUUGUGGAUCAGUCCCGCUCGGCUCUCCCUGAAGUAGUUUGAUUGGAGAUGAAGCAUGAGAAGGCCGCAAAGUGGUGGGGAGGUCUGAGCAGUGUCAAUUGUUUCCUGCUGCUGCCAGUUUGCUUCGUGCACUUUGUUUCUCGCAGAAACUCUCUGGAGAUGGGAUGAGCAGCCGAGGAAGUCAUGUGAGUGAAGGAAGCAGAGGCCAGCGAGAGGUCUUGGCCGACAGAGAGGUGAAGCGGGGAUAUCUGGUGAGAAAAGGAUUUAUGCAAGAGGCACAGCAGAGAGCGGGAAGUGAGGAAGUCCGGACUGCYCGGGAGGCAGCUUCUCCAGCCCCCAGCAUUAGUACACUCGCGCUGCAGCCGUCCCUGUAUCUUUUCCUCUGAUCCCAGUUAACUUGGUCCAGAUUCAGAGAGGACRGUGCUGGUGUAAGUUACAUGUUAACAAGCCCUUCUCACUCUCCCCUUCUCUGCUGUUCUGUUACAAACUGUGCAUUAUGGCAAAUAUCCUGACAUUAACCUUGAGCAAUGGUUUACCUCGCACUUAUGUCACAUCUGACUUGGACCCUUUAGAAAUGGAAGUGAGGGUUGUUUUGGGCAACUGGUCUAAAAAGCAUUCCAAGRUUUUCAUUUUCUUAUGGCCUUUUUCAUACAUCAGGUACUUGUUUAAAAGCYAUUUUUUCUAAUUUAUUUCAUAUUUGAAGACUAUUUUUAUAUCCUUUGUAAGCAUUUAACAACAGACCUCACUGGCUCAUAAUCACGAACAGAUGACUGUAAUACAAUACAACGAAUUUGGACAAAAUUCUGUGUAUUUUGUUCUGCAACUUCUCCAGUUAAGCUCUAACUUUGGCAUCUUGCUGUAGUUUAAGUUCUUUAUGGCCCUGUUACUUGAUUUUAAGUAAAUUGUGCAUGACUCCUUUUUUCCAUCAAUAAUUGUGUCUUAUUUUUCCCAAUAAUUAACUACAGAACUUUUUUUAAAAUAUAAUUUGUCUCCACAUUUUUUUGCUAGAUAAAUCAAGCUUCAAAUAGUUGAUUUUUAAUGAAUUUCUGGACUGAUCUUGCCUAUGGUUAAGUUCAAAUUUAGAGAUAUAUAUGUUGCUUUUAGUGUGGCUCAUUUUUUCAGGGAAAUUUGUUUUGCAAGGCUUCUGACUAUUUUUAAAUCUUUCUGGUUGUGGAUGAGAUUUUUAAAGAUGAACAUUCAGUGUCAUAGGUGAGAGAUUCCAUUCUUGCAUGCCCAGAUAAUAGAAUUUUCCCAAUGGAUUUUGCGUAUGUAACUCAACYCAGACUGCAACACUACAAGUGUUAGUGGUCAAAAUGUGUAUAUGUCUGUUGUAUUUUUAUGAAAGGGGAGGCGAUAUUAAAGCCAAAGUGAGGUCCUCUAUAUUUU